Otolemur garnettii (small-eared galago) is the source of this 142-nucleotide non-coding RNA. The record is from Rfam. NCBI's taxonomy places the organism in Eukaryota, Metazoa, Chordata, Mammalia, Primates, Galagidae.
ACCUUUGUGCGGUGGCAGUAUAGUAGCAAAUGAGGUUUAUCCAAAGGCAAUUAUUGCUAAUUAAAAACUUUUCCCGAUACUCUGCUGUGAUGACUUGAAAUAUAGUUGGCAUUGGCAUUUUUUUUUUUGCAGUAUUUUUGGC